GACGAACGCUGGCGGCGUGCUUAACACAUGCAAGUCGAACGGAAAGGCCCUGCUUUUGUGGGGUGCUCGAGUGGCGAACGGGUGAGUAACACGUGAGUAACCUGCCCUUGACUUUGGGAUAACUUCAGGAAACUGGGGCUAAUACCGGAUAGGAGCUCCUGCUGCAUGGUGGGGGUUGGAAAGUUUCGGCGGUUGGGGAUGGACUCGCGGCUUAUCAGCUUGUUGGUGGGGUAGUGGCUUACCAAGGCUUUGACGGGUAGCCGGCCUGAGAGGGUGACCGGCCACAUUGGGACUGAGAGACGGCCCAGACUCCUACGGGAGGCAGCAGUGGGGAAUAUUGCACAAUGGGCGGAAGCCUGAUGCAGCAACGCCGCGUGCGGGAAGACGGCCUUCGGGUUAUAAACCGCUUUCGCCUGUGACGAAGCGUGAGUGACGGUAAUGGGUAAAGAAGCACCGGCUAACUACGUG
This 468-nucleotide ribosomal RNA is filed under the name uncultured bacterium. RNAcentral's name for it is "partial 16S ribosomal RNA". It matches the Rfam family "Bacterial small subunit ribosomal RNA", at positions 28 to 507 of the family's 1533-position model. The record is from RNAcentral.